GACGAACGCUGGCGGCGUGCUUAACACAUGCAAGUCGAACGGUAAGGCCCUUUCGGGGGUACACGAGUGGCGCACGGGUGCGUAACACGUGGGUGAUCUGCCCUGCACUUUGGGAUAAGCCUGGGAAACUGGGUCUAAUACCGGAUAGGACUACGCGAUGCAUGUCGUGUGGUGGAAAGCUUUUGCGGUGUGGGAUGGGCCCGCGGCCUAUCAGCUUGUUGGUGGGGUGAUGGCCUACCAAGGCGACGACGGGUAGCCGGCCUGAGAGGGUGUCCGGCCACACUGGGACUGAGAUACGGCCCAGACUCCUACGGGAGGCAGCAGUGGGGAAUAUUGCACAAUGGGCGCAAGCCUGAUGCAGCGACGCCGCGUGGGGGAUGACGGCCUUCGGGUUGUAAACCCCUUUCAGCACAGACGAAGCGUAAGUGACGGUAUGUGCAGAAGAAGCGCCGGCCAACUACGUG
Molecule: ribosomal RNA, 464 nt
Filed under: uncultured bacterium
Lineage: Bacteria
Description: partial 16S ribosomal RNA
Rfam family: Bacterial small subunit ribosomal RNA
Source: RNAcentral